AAAACAUCUUUUUUAGAUUUUAUUUUAAAUUUGACCUGCCCAAUGAUUAAUUUAAUGGCCGCGGUAUUUUGACUGUGCAAAGGUAGCAUAAUCAUUAGUUUAUUAAUUGUGGACUAGUAUGAAUGGUUGGACGAAAUAUUAACUGUCUUUAUUUAAAGUUUAAAAUUUAAAUUUUAAGUUAAAAUGCUUAAAUGUAUUUAUUGGACGAGAAGACCCUAUAGAUCUUUAUUUUUAAUUUGGUUUAUUUAAUUUAGUUUAUUUUAUAUGGAUUAAUUUAUUUAUUUUAUUGGGGUGAUAUGAAGAAUUAUAUAACUCUUUAUUUUUAUUUAUAUUUAUUUAUAAUUAAUUGACCUUUUAUUAAUGUUAUAAGACAUAGAUACCUUAGGGAUAACAGCGUAAUUCUUUUUGAGAGUUCUUAUUGACAAAAGUGAUUGCGACCUCGAUGUUGGAUUAAGAUUAUAAUUAGGUGUAGGUGCUUAAUUGGUAGGUCUGUUCGACCUUUAAAUUCUUACA
Molecule: ribosomal RNA, 513 nt
Filed under: Dimorphodes prostasis
Lineage: Eukaryota; Metazoa; Arthropoda; Insecta; Phasmatodea; Phasmatidae
Description: partial 16S ribosomal RNA
Rfam family: Bacterial large subunit ribosomal RNA (bases 387-513)
Source: RNAcentral